UGCCAGAGCCAUAUCACCCUGCAGCCCAAGACCGGUUACUCACUGAAGCUAAGCAGGGCUGAGCCUGGUUAGUACCUGGAUGGGAGACCACUAGGGAACACUAGGUUGCUGUUGGAA
RNAcentral lists this ribosomal RNA (117 nucleotides) under Danio rerio (zebrafish). The record is from RNAcentral. Lineage: Eukaryota; Metazoa; Chordata; Actinopteri; Cypriniformes; Danionidae.